AUGGGCCUGAGGACUCCUGCUCACUUCCUGGGGCUCCUGCUGCUCUGGCUCCCAGGUGUGAGAUGUGACAUCCAGAUGACUCAGACUCCACAAUUCCUGUCUGUAUCUCAGGGAGACACAGUCACCAUCAAUUGUCUUGCAAGUGAGAACAUUUAUAGCAGUUUAGCCUGGUACCAGCAGAAACCAAGGGCAGCUCCUAAGCUCCUCAUCUAUGGUGCAUCCAGCUUGGUGGAUGGGGUUCCACCCAGGUUCAGUGGCAGUGGAUCUGGAACAGAUUUCACUCUCACCAUCAGCAGCUUGGAGCCUGAGGAUGAUGCCGAUUAUUACUGUCAACAGGGUUGGAGCUACCCUCCCACAGUGAUACAAGUCAUGACAUAA
This is a non-coding RNA of Jaculus jaculus (lesser Egyptian jerboa), 378 nucleotides long. The record is from the annotation of a RefSeq genome assembly. NCBI's taxonomy places the organism in Eukaryota, Metazoa, Chordata, Mammalia, Rodentia, Dipodidae.